RNAcentral lists this unclassified non-coding RNA (391 nucleotides) under soil metagenome. RNAcentral describes it as "partial contains 5.8S ribosomal RNA, internal transcribed spacer 2, and large subunit ribosomal RNA". The stretch from base 1 to 122 matches the Rfam family "5.8S ribosomal RNA", at positions 35 to 154 of the family's 154-position model. The record is from RNAcentral.
GAUGAAGAACGUAGCGAAAUUCGAUACUUGGUGUGAAUUGCAGAAUCCCGUGAACCAUCGAGUCUUUGAACGCAAGUUGCGCCCGAAGCCAUUAGGCCGAGGGCACGCCUGCCUGGGCGUCACACGUCGUUGCCCCCCCAUCUACUCCUUCGGGAUUGCGGGGGGCGGAUGAUGGCCUCCCGUGCGCCUUGUCGCGCGGUUGGCAUAAAUGCCAAGUCCUCGGCGACGCACGCCACGACAAUCGGUGGUUGCGAAACCUCGGUUGCCCGUCGUGUGCGGUCGUCGCGCAUCGAGGGCUCGAAAAAAUUGUCGGGCUCCGGCUCGGCUUUCAACGCGACCCCAGGUCAGGCGGGGUUACCCGCUGAAUUUAAGCAUAUCAAUAAGCGGAGGA